Molecule: RNase P RNA, 475 nt
Filed under: Cohnella zeiphila
Lineage: Bacteria; Bacillati; Bacillota; Bacilli; Caryophanales; Paenibacillaceae
Description: Bacterial RNase P class A
Rfam family: Bacterial RNase P class A
About the family: Ribonuclease P (RNase P) is a ubiquitous endoribonuclease, found in archaea, bacteria and eukarya as well as chloroplasts and mitochondria.
Source: Rfam by way of RNAcentral
AAAGCUUGACAGACAAUCGCUGGCGGCUUCGCGCCGCGAGAGGAAAGUCCGGGCUCCGUAGGGCAGGAUGCUGGAUAACGUCCAGUCGGCGCGAGCCGAAGGAUAGUGCCACAGAAAUGGACCGCCGAUGGCCGAUCCCCGCAAAGUGACGUAGAGCUUCGAAGCUUAUUCCGAUUACUUCACGGGGGCCCCAAUACCUUUUGGGGUUGGCACAGGCAAGGAUGGAACCGUGGUGUAAGAGACCACGAGGAGCAUGGGCGACUCUGCUCCUGGUAAACCCCAUCUGGAGCAAGACCGAAGAGGAACGCGGCAGCUUCGGCUGCAGCCCUUGCCCGGGGCGCGUUCGGGUUGGUCGCUUGAGCCGUUCGGCAACGGACGGCCUAGAUAGAUGAUUGUCGCUUCCAUCCGUGGGAGGGCCGCACGGCCCGUUCUGACCACCGGAAGCACAGAACCCGGCUUACGGCAAACUUUUCGU